ACACGACUACAUUAGACUACCCCCGUAGUCCUAGCCGUAAACGAUACUCGCUAGGUGUCGGCCACGGUGCGACCGUUGUCGGUGCCGUAGGGAAGCCGUGAAGCGAGCCACCUGGGAAGUACGGCCGCAAGGCUGAAACUUAAAGGAAUUGGCGGGGAGCACCACAAGAGGUGGAGGCUGCGGUUCAAUUGGACUCAACGCCGGAAAACUCAUCGGGAGCGACAGCAGUAUGAUUGCCAGGUUGAUGACCUUGCUUGACAAGCUG
This 265-nucleotide ribosomal RNA is filed under the name uncultured archaeon. RNAcentral describes it as "partial 16S ribosomal RNA". It matches the Rfam family "Archaeal small subunit ribosomal RNA", at positions 717 to 982 of the family's 1478-position model. The record is from RNAcentral.